GCAAGUCGAACGUGAGGGUAUAGCAAUAUGCCUGAAAGUGGCGAACGGGUGAGUAACACGUAGGUAACCUGCCGCGCAGAGGGGGAUAACCAUUGGAAACGGUGGCUAAUACCGCAUGGUACUAUCGAGAGGGGACCCUUGAUGGUUAAAACCUUGGUGCUGCGCGAGGGGCCUGCGUCCGAUUAGUUAGUUGGUGAGGUAAUGGCUCACCAAGGCGAUGAUCGGUAGCUGGUCUGAGAGGAUGAUCAGUCACACGGGAACUGAGACACGGUCCCGACUCCUACGGGGGGCAGCAGUGAGGAAUAUUGCACAAUGGACGCAAGUCUGAUGCAGCAACGCCGCGUGGAGGAUGAAGGUCUUUGGAUUGUAAACUCCUUUUUCAGGGAAGAGUGAGGACGGUACCUGAAGAAUAAGUCACGGCUAACUACGUGCCAGCAGCCGCGGUAAUACGUAGGUGGCAAGCGUUAUCCGGAAUUACUGGGCGUAAAGCGCACGCAGGCGGCUAGUCAAGUUCGACGUGAAAGCUCCCGGCUUAACUGGGAGAGGUCGUUGAAAACUGGUUAGCUUGAGGCAAUGAGAGGGGUGUAGAAUUC
Molecule: ribosomal RNA, 593 nt
Filed under: uncultured Chloroflexota bacterium
Lineage: Bacteria; Bacillati; Chloroflexota
Description: bacterial SSU rRNA
Rfam family: Bacterial small subunit ribosomal RNA
Source: RNAcentral